UCCGAGAUAUUUGAUCGGAGG
RNAcentral lists this microRNA (21 nucleotides) under Medicago truncatula (barrel medic). RNAcentral's name for it is "mtr-miR7697-5p". Lineage: Eukaryota; Viridiplantae; Streptophyta; Magnoliopsida; Fabales; Fabaceae. The record is from miRBase by way of RNAcentral.